Molecule: ribosomal RNA, 642 nt
Filed under: Russula vesca
Lineage: Eukaryota; Fungi; Basidiomycota; Agaricomycetes; Russulales; Russulaceae
Description: LSU rRNA
Rfam family: Eukaryotic large subunit ribosomal RNA
Source: RNAcentral
CAAUAAGCGGAGGAAAAGAAACUAACAAGGAUUCCCCUAGUAACUGCGAGUGAAGCGGGAAAAGCUCAAAUUUAAAAUCUGGUGGUCUUUGGCCAUCCGAGUUGUAAUUUAGAGAAGCGUCUUCCGCGCUGGGCCGUGCACAAGUCUCCUGGAAUGGAGCGUCAUAGAGGGUGAGAAUCCCGUCUUUGGCACGGACCCCCAGGGCUUCUGUGAUGCGCUCUCGACGAGUCGAGUUGUUUGGGAAUGCAGCUCAAAAUGGGUGGUGAACUCCAUCUAAAGCUAAAUAUUGGCGAGAGACCGAUAGCGAACAAGUACCGUGAGGGAAAGAUGAAAAGCACUUUGGAAAGAGAGUGAAACAGUACGUGAAAUUGUUGAAAGGGAAACGCUUGAAGUCAGUCGCGUCGACCGAGACUCAGCCUUGCCUCGGCUUGGUGUACUUCUCGGUUUGACGGGUCAGCAUCAAUUUUGAUCCUUGGAUAAUGGCAAGGGAAAGGUAGCACCUUUUCAGGUGUGUUAUAGUCCUCUGUCGCAUGCGAGGGUCAGGAUUGAGGAACUCAGCAUGCACCUUCGGGUGUCGGGGCCUUGGCCCACGCUACGUGCUUAGGAUGCUGGCAUAAUGGCUUUAAACGACCCGUCUUGAAA